This 696-nucleotide ribosomal RNA is filed under the name uncultured bacterium. RNAcentral describes it as "bacterial SSU rRNA". It matches the Rfam family "Bacterial small subunit ribosomal RNA", at positions 32 to 715 of the family's 1533-position model. The record is from RNAcentral.
AACGCUAGCUACAGGCUUAACACAUGCAAGUCGAGGGGAAACGAUAUUGGAAGCUUGCUUCCGAUAGGCGUCGACCGGCGCACGGGUGAGUAACGCGUAUCCAAUCUGCCCACCACUUGGGGAUAACCUUGCGAAAGUAAGACUAAUACCCAAUGAUAUCUCUAGAAGACAUCUGAAAGAGAUUAAAGAUUUAUCGGUGAUGGAUGGGGAUGCGUCUGAUUAGCUUGUUGGCGGGGUAACGGCCCACCAAGGCGACGAUCAGUAGGGGUUCUGAGAGGAAGGUCCCCCACAUUGGAACUGAGACACGGUCCAAACUCCUACGGGAGGCAGCAGUGAGGAAUAUUGGUCAAUGGGCGAGAGCCUGAACCAGCCAAGUAGCGUGAAGGAUGAAGGUCCUAUGGAUUGUAAACUUCUUUUAUAGUAGAAUAAAGUGAUCCACGUGUGGGUUUUUGUAUGUAUACUAUGAAUAAGGAUCGGCUAACUCCGUGCCAGCAGCCGCGGUAAUACGGAGGAUCCGAGCGUUAUCCGGAUUUAUUGGGUUUAAAGGGUGCGUAGGCGGAAUAAUAAGUCAGUUGUGAAAGUUUGCGGCUCAACCGUAAAAUUGCAGUUGAUACUGUUAUUCUUGAGUGUACAUAAGGUAGGCGGAAUUCGUGGUGUAGCGGUGAAAUGCUUAGAUAUCACGAAGAACUCCGAUUG